Molecule: ribosomal RNA, 305 nt
Filed under: uncultured bacterium
Lineage: Bacteria
Description: partial 16S ribosomal RNA
Rfam family: Bacterial small subunit ribosomal RNA
Source: RNAcentral
ACAGCAGUAGCCACGGUAAUACAGAGGGUGCGAGCGUUAAUCGGAUUUACUGGGCGUAAAGCGUGCGUAGGCGGCUUCUUAAGUCGGAUGUGAAAUCCCUGAGCUUAACUUAGGAAUUGCAUUCGAUACUGGGAAGCUAGAGUAUGGGAGAGGAUGGUAGAAUUCCAGGUGUAGCGGUGAAAUGCGUAGAGAUCUGGAGGAAUACCGAUGGCGAAGGCAGCCAUCUGGCCUAAUACUGACGCUGAGGUACGAAAGCAUGGGGAGCAAACAGGAUUAGAUACCCGCGUAGUCCCUGUCUCUUAUAC